UCGAGGGGUAUUAGUUUUCGGACUAAGAGACCGGCGCACGGGUGCGUAACGCGUAUGCAAUCUACCUUUUACAGAGGGAUAGCCCAGAGAAAUUUGGAUUAAUACCUCAUAGUAUAGCAGUUUCGCAUGAAACCACUAUUAAAGUCACAACGGUAAAAGAUGAGCAUGCGUCCCAUUAGCUAGUUGGUAAGGUAACGGCUUACCAAGGCUACGAUGGGUAGGGGUCCUGAGAGGGAGAUCCCCCACACUGGUACUGAGACACGGACCAGACUCCUACGGGAGGCAGCAGUGAGGAAUAUUGGACAAUGGGCGCAAGCCUGAUCCAGCCAUGCCGCGUGCAGGAUGACGGUCCUAUGGAUUGUAAACUGCUUUUGUACGAGAAGAAACACUCCUAUGUAUAGGAGCUUGACGGUAUCGUAAGAAUAAGGAUCGGCUAACUCCGUGCCAACAGCCGCGGUAAUACGGAGGAUCCAAGCGUUAUCCGGAAUCAUUGGGUUUAAAGGGUCCGUAGGCGGUUUAGUAAGUCAGUGGUGAAAGCCCAUCGCUCAACGGUGGAACGGCCAUUGACACUGCUGAACUUGAAUUAUUAGGAAGUAACUAGAAUAUGUAGUGUAGCGGU
RNAcentral lists this ribosomal RNA (619 nucleotides) under uncultured Flavobacteriales bacterium. RNAcentral describes it as "bacterial SSU rRNA". It matches the Rfam family "Bacterial small subunit ribosomal RNA", at positions 62 to 682 of the family's 1533-position model. Lineage: Bacteria; Pseudomonadati; Bacteroidota; Flavobacteriia; Flavobacteriales. The record is from RNAcentral.